Molecule: ribosomal RNA, 448 nt
Filed under: uncultured bacterium
Lineage: Bacteria
Description: partial 16S ribosomal RNA
Rfam family: Bacterial small subunit ribosomal RNA
Source: RNAcentral
GCCAGACUCCUACGGGAGGCAGCAGUGGGGGAUAUUGCACAAUGGGGGGAACCCUGAUGCAGCGACGCCGCGUGGGUGAAGGAGCGUUUCGGCGCGUAAAGCCCUAUCGGCAGGGAAGAAGGAGGACGGUACCUGACUAAGAAGCCCCGGCUAACUACGUGCCAGCAGCCGCGGUAAUACGUAGGGGGCAAGCGUUAUCCGGAUUUACUGGGUGUAAAGGGGGCGCAGACGGCAGCGCAAGCCAGGAGUGAAAGCCCGGGGCCCAACCCCGGGACUGCUCUUGGAACUGCGCGGCUGGAGUGCAGGAGGGGCAGGCGGAAUUCCUGGUGUAGCGGUGAAAUGCGUAGAUAUCAGGAGGAACACCGGUGGCGAAGGCGGCCUGCUGGACUGCGACUGACGUUGAGGCCCGAAAGCGUGGGGAGCAAACAGGAUUAGAUACCCCCGUACA